AGCGAACGCUGGCGGCAGGCCUAACACAUGCAAGUCGAGCGCCGUAGCAAUACGGAGCGGCAGACGGGAGAGUAACACGUGGGAACGUACCCUUUGGUUCGGAACAACCCAGGGAAACUUGGGCUAAUACCGGAUAAGCCCUUACGGGGAAAGAUUCAUCGCCGAAGGAUCGGCCCGCGUCUGAUUAGCUAGUUGGUGGGGUAAUGGCCCACCAAGGCGACGAUCAGUAGCUGGUCUGAGAGGAUGAUCAGCCUCACUGGGACUGAGACACGGCCCAGACUCCUACGGGAGGCAGCAGUGGGGAAUAUUGGACAAUGGGCGCAAGCCUGAUCCAGCCAUGCCGCGUGGGUGAUGAAGGCCCUAGGGUUGUAAAGCCCUUUCGGCGGGGAAGAUAAUGACGGUACCCGCAGAAGAAGCCCCGGCUAACUUCGUGC
RNAcentral lists this ribosomal RNA (434 nucleotides) under uncultured bacterium. RNAcentral's name for it is "bacterial SSU rRNA". It matches the Rfam family "Bacterial small subunit ribosomal RNA", at positions 29 to 508 of the family's 1533-position model. The record is from RNAcentral.